GAGUCUUCUGCAGCUGUGUCCACCAAGAAGGCCACAUUCCUGGACUGACCUCCACUUAAUUACUCUGAUCAACAAAGCCCCAGACUUUGUCCUCAAAAGUGGAGAGAGUAUUUUCUGAUAUGAAAAGUAGUUUUGCCUCCUCACCUAUCCUAGGCCAGCCGCUGCUGUGGGCUCCACCCUCGGAAGUUCCUUGGAGUCUCCUCUUCUUGAGCAAACCAUCUUCUGGAACUGCUCCCGAAUACAAGGGAAUUCUGAGGAUCUGAAGGAUACCUCUUGAAAACCAGCAAUCAAGACAGCAAUCAAGGAACUGCUAUCAGGAUGAGGUGGUGCUAGUGUUAAAGAACACAUCUGCCAAUGCUGGAGACAUAAGAGACAUGGGUUCGAUCCCUCGGUAGGGAAGAUCUCCAGGAGGGAGGGCCUGCAACCCAUUCCAGUAUUCUUGCUGGAGAAUCCCAUGGACAAAGGAGCCUGGCGGGCUACAGUCUAUGGGGUCGCGAAGAGUUGAACAUGACUGAAACAAUUUAGCAUGCACGCAUAGGGACGACAGAUCUGACCAAGAAUGGGCAACAGUGGCUUAACGUGACCUGGAAUAACUCUAUUUAGAUUGGUUUGAUUAGAUUUCAUCUCUGCCUAUGAGAGUUGGAGGAGGCUUAGAAAACUACAGCAGAAUUGUGCAAGAAAUCAUAUAA
This 689-nucleotide long non-coding RNA is filed under the name Capra hircus (goat). RNAcentral's name for it is "lncRNA (ENSCHIG00000000539.1)". Lineage: Eukaryota; Metazoa; Chordata; Mammalia; Artiodactyla; Bovidae. The record is from RNAcentral.